This 420-nucleotide ribosomal RNA is filed under the name bacterium. RNAcentral describes it as "partial 16S ribosomal RNA". It matches the Rfam family "Bacterial small subunit ribosomal RNA", at positions 355 to 776 of the family's 1533-position model. The record is from RNAcentral.
UGGGGGAUAUUGCACAAUGGGCGAAAGCCUGAUGCAGCGACGCCGCGUGGGGGAUGAAGGCUUUCGGGUUGUAAACCUCUUUCGCUAUCGAACAAGGCCCGCUUAGGGUGGGUUGAGGGUAGGUGGAGAAGAAGCGCCGGCUAACUACGUGCCAGCAGCCGCGGUAAUACGUAGGGCGCGAGCUUUGUCCGGAAUUAUUGGGCGUAAAGGGCUUGUAGGCGGCUUGUUGCGCCUGCUGUGAAAACGCGGGGCUUAACUUCGCGCGUGCAGUGGGUACGGGCAGGUUUGAGUGUGGUAGGGGUGACUGGAAUUCCAGGUGUAGCGGUGGAAUGCGCAGAUAUCUGGAGGAACACCGAUGGCGAAGGCAGGUCACUGGGCCAUUACUGACGCUGAGGAGCGAAAGCAUGGGUAGCGAACAGG